This 230-nucleotide unclassified non-coding RNA is filed under the name uncultured fungus. RNAcentral's name for it is "sequence contains ITS1, 5.8S rRNA gene". The stretch from base 182 to 230 matches the Rfam family "5.8S ribosomal RNA", at positions 1 to 49 of the family's 154-position model. The record is from RNAcentral. Lineage: Eukaryota; Fungi.
UCUCCGUAGGUGAACCUGCGGAGGGAUCAUUACCGAGUGCGCGCCCCCCGGGGCCGACCUCCAACCCAUUGUUAUCCGACCACGUUGCCUCGGGGGCGACCCUGCCGUUCGCGGCGUGGGGCCCCCGGAGCCCAUCAAACCCUGCGUAACUAAGUCGUCGGAGUUUAAACAAAUUAAACAAAACUUUCAACAACGGAUCUCUUGGUUCGGGCAUCGAUGAAGAACGCAGC